AUUGUCUAUUGGAUAUGACAGAGGUUUUCUAAUCCUUUGAGAUAGGUUGAAAUCCUAUU
RNAcentral lists this transfer RNA (59 nucleotides) under Ricinus communis (castor bean). It matches the Rfam family "tRNA", at positions 7 to 64 of the family's 71-position model. From Rfam's summary of the family: Transfer RNA (tRNA) molecules are approximately 80 nucleotides in length. Lineage: Eukaryota; Viridiplantae; Streptophyta; Magnoliopsida; Malpighiales; Euphorbiaceae. The record is from Rfam by way of RNAcentral.